GGCAGCAAACGGAGCAGGAGGUUCUAAUAUGGGUUUGUGCGUGAGGCGGAUUUUUUUUAAAGCGUUUGGUUUCUGUUCAUCAAAGAAAAGUUGACAGACGACCAUGUAAACCGCGGAGCGCCUGAAGAUUGCAGUUUAUUGUUACCCCUUGUGGGGAAACUGUCCGCUCUCCCUGUUCUUUCCGAUGCUGGCCGGAGCAAGGCCGUGACUCAAGUCCUGUCCACACUGCAGCCUAACGUGAAACCUUGCCAAUUAAGUACCUUGCUUGGAUUCAUCUGUGCGCACAAGGGGCCCGUGGGCUGGGGCCAUCUGUGCGUCCACGAAUAGCUGAGAAGAACUCGAUAAAAGGAGGCAAAUUCAGGCUGAGAGAUGUCGCCUCAAGAGAUGGAGACGCCUCCCCUGCAAAGACUGGAAUGACCUUCUCCUGAACCGAUUCUUUCUCCUCUAAUGGUGCAAGUUCCUGUGGAC
Long non-coding RNA from Xiphias gladius (swordfish), 468 nucleotides. RefSeq lists it as uncharacterized. Lineage: Eukaryota; Metazoa; Chordata; Actinopteri; Istiophoriformes; Xiphiidae. The record is from RefSeq and is a predicted model, not a curated record. The transcript is spliced from 3 exons.